This 253-nucleotide ribosomal RNA is filed under the name uncultured bacterium. RNAcentral describes it as "partial 16S ribosomal RNA". It matches the Rfam family "Bacterial small subunit ribosomal RNA", at positions 524 to 776 of the family's 1533-position model. The record is from RNAcentral.
UACGGAGGGUGCAAGCGUUAUCCGGAUUCACUGGGUUUAAAGGGUGCGUAGGUGGGUUGGUAAGUCCGGGGUGAAAUCUCCGAGCUUAACUCGGAAACUGCCGUGGAUACUAUCAAUCUUGAAUACUGUGGAGGUAAGCGGAAUAUGUCAUGUAGCGGUGAAAUGCUUAGAUAUGACAUAGAACACCGAUAGCGGAGGCAGCUUGCUGCACAGUCAUUGACACUGAGGCACGAAAGCGUGGGGAUCAAACAGG